Molecule: transfer RNA, 540 nt
Filed under: uncultured cyanobacterium
Lineage: Bacteria; Bacillati; Cyanobacteriota
Description: partial contains 16S ribosomal RNA, 16S-23S ribosomal RNA intergenic spacer, and 23S ribosomal RNA
Rfam family: tRNA (bases 212-284)
Source: RNAcentral
CAGGGAGACAACAAAAUGUUUAAUAUUAUUAUUUUGUCACCUUAGGUCGAUCGGUAUCUCACGUUCUUAACUAAUUAAGAAUUUCAAUUCCUAAGUUUUUCUAGGUCACACCCAUUAUUUUUCCUGGGCCAUUAGCUCAGGUGGUUAGAGCGCACCCCUGAUAAGGGUGAGGUCCCUGGUUCAAGUCCAGGAUGGCCCAUAUCUCUAUGUUGGGGGUAUAGCUCAGUUGGUAGAGCGCCUGCUUUGCAAGCAGGAUGUCAGCGGUUCGAGUCCGCUUACCUCCACUGAUUACCACCUCUUCCAUAAUCUGUAGAAAGGAAAUUUUUUGAGUUGUGAUCAACUUCUGAACGAAUCUAGCUUCCUAAUGAAAGCAUUAAGAUGCUGGACUCAUUGAAUUAAUUUCAUUGUUUUCAGAGAACCUUGACAACUGCAUAGAUUAUUUUUAAAGACAAUAAGCAUCUUUAAUGAUGCAGAUUUAUUAUUUGUGCAAAUGCAUUAAUAACAAUUCUAUUAAGCUGAUGCUUCAAUUUUGAAGUUAUU